RNAcentral lists this transfer RNA (72 nucleotides) under Bos taurus (domestic cattle). It matches the Rfam family "tRNA". Rfam says of the family: Transfer RNA (tRNA) molecules are approximately 80 nucleotides in length. Lineage: Eukaryota; Metazoa; Chordata; Mammalia; Artiodactyla; Bovidae. The record is from Rfam by way of RNAcentral. RNAcentral also lists the same sequence under 5 other names.
UCCCUGGUGGCUCAGAAGGUAAAGCAUCUGCCUGCAGUGCAGGAGACCCGGGUUUGAUCCCUGGGUUGGGAA